RNA transcript from Argiope bruennichi, 4701 nucleotides. It is a transcript of the gene named arginine and glutamate-rich protein 1-like, with no coding region annotated. The record is from RefSeq and is a predicted model, not a curated record. Lineage: Eukaryota; Metazoa; Arthropoda; Arachnida; Araneae; Araneidae. The transcript has 6 exons.
UCAGCUCGAGUUGCUUUUUUUAUAUAAGCAGUCAAGAUUUUGUUCAUUUUUCUGGCAUUUUUUUUCUAGAAUAUUGUAACAUUAUACAACCAUUUGAAUGAUAAACUCUUUACGAAUCACUUUGACGUCACUUUCAUUGCAAUUUUGCUUUGAAAUUUAAUAAACUUUUGUAAAAAAAAAUGGGAAGAUCUAGAAGUGGUAGUAGAUCGCCAUCUCGUCAUAAGCAUAAAAGUAAACAUUCUCAUAAACGAUCACAUUCUAAAGAUAAAAGAGAGAGAAGUAACAAAUCGAAAAAGUCACGUUCUCGUGAAAGAUCCAGAUCUAGAUUAACAAAGUUGGAAUUAAAUAAACUAGACAGACAUUUACAAGAUUCCAGUAAGAAAAGAAAACGUUCAUCUUCAUCAUCAAGUAGCAGCAGUGAUGAUCUGGAUGGCUACAGCUCACAUCGGAGGAGACUGAAAAAGAUGAGUGAAGUUGAAAGGCUUGCUGAAAUGGAAAGAUUAAGGAGGCAAAAGGAAAUGGAAUCUAGAUUAGUGGAAGAAGAAACUUCUAAACGUAUAGAAGAAAUUGUGGCAAAGCGAGUUGAAGAAGAAUUGGAGAAAAGAAAGGAUGACAUUGAGAAAGAAGUUCUGCGGAGAGUAGAAGAAGCUAAAAAGGUCAUGGAAAAGCAAUUGUUGGAAGAAAUGGAGCGAAGGCAAAAGCUGGAACUUGAAGCACAAAGAGCUAAGGAGGUAAUAGCGAGUACUAUUCUGCAAAGUACUGAAAUGUAUUUUUUCUCUAUUUUGCAGGCAGCAAGGCUUCAAUAUAAUUUAAGUUUGCAGAUAAAACUAUAUGGCCCAAUUUGAAAUUAUGGCAUUCUAAAAUGUAAUACAAAUUUUAACAUAAACCAAAAAAUUAGAUUAAAAAAUCUAUAUAUGAAAAAUGCUUAUAAAUUAGUAUUAAAUAUAAAGAAGCUGUAUACCUUUAAUUUGUAAACUAUGAUGCUUAUUUGCAAAAUAGUUGAACAGCAUUAUAUGUUUCGUGAGAUUUGGAUUGGAGUCGGAACUUUCAAAUUAUUUGUCAUUUGUACAUAGAAUGUUUUAAGUAUAUGCAAUGCAUAUUUCUAUUUUGUUCUGCCAGACUUCAGGAAUUUUUUAUUUGCAUUCUUUUUACCUCUUUGUGAGUAUUUAUGUGCCAUUUAUUUUAUUAUGAAACUUGUACUUUUUUUUUUUUUUUAAUACCAACUUUGUGUUUUCUCAACACUGUUGAUUUAUUUCAUCAUUUAUGUUUCUUUUUAUUUAUUUUAUUUUGAAAUGAAUCUCUUUCAGCAUUUUUUUAUUGAAUCAGCACUCCAAUAUUUAAAAAAUGAUUGUUUGCACUUGCAUAUUAUUUGUUAUGCAACUAAGAUGUUUAUUAUUUCAUAAAUAGUUUCAACUUUAUUGAUUGCAAAGACUCAAAGUUCACACUCAUUAAAAAAAUUUUGGGAAAAAUUAAUUUUUAAAAAUCUGGUAGACUAGUAUUGAGAACUUAUAAUUUUUUAUGAAGUUAUCUUCCAUUGGAAGUCUAUUUUUUAAAUUGUUUAUUUGAUUCCAUUUUUUCAACGUAUUUUCUAAAAAUUAUUGAAAGUUAUCAAGUGGGAAAAGGCAGUUGCUCUCUUCAUAAAAUUGCAUCAGUUCUUCCAUUUUUUAAUUGAAUUUUUAAAUUUUCUUUAUUAAUUAUGUCUUGAAGUAAGUUUACAUGAAAUGCGUUUAUAAUCUUCAAAAUAAAUAUCUUCGAAAAAUUUAGUUGUUUACAGAUUUAUUUGAUUCAGAUUAUUAUUUUUUUAUUGCUCAAUAAUAUCUUGAAAAAUCAUACUAUACAGACCAUAUUAAUAUUCUGCAACUUUAGAUCUAUCCCUAACUACAGAUAUUACAUUAUUAAAUACUCAAUUUCCACAUUUGAAUAACAAAUUCAGUUUUCUAUUUCUAUGUCCACUUGAUUAGUCUGUGUAGUUUAAAAUUAUCAAUUUGAAUCAUUAACACAUAGUUCAUUUCUUUUUGUGGAUAUGUUCCAUUAUUAUUUUUUUGUAGACUUUUGAAUGAAGUUGAUGGUCUAUUUUUCUUCUUUCUCUCAAGUUUAAAGUUCUCUACUGAUUCAAAACUAAGAAUAUUUUAAAGAAACUAGCUUUAUAAUAUAUGAAUUCUUGAAAAUAUUUUUUUAAAUGCAAUAUCCUGAAACCUGGCAGUUAAUUGAAAUGCAAGCAUUAAAUUCAUUCUGCUCUUACCAUAUAGUCAACAGUACAUAUCAAUCUGAGAUUUAAAAUAAUUAUAUAUAUUAUUUUAAUGAAAGAUCUUAUGUAAAUGGGUUUUAUAUGACCUAAUCCUACUUUUGAGGGAAUUUUUUUGAAAGAAACAAAUGACCAGGAUUAAUAAAUGGUGUUCUAAUCUUUGAUGAUACAAAAUAAUAAUAAUUCUGAGUUUUUCCUUUAGUUGGAUUCUGUUGUAUCCAUACAUAAAAACCAUUAAUUAUGUAUUUUGCUAUUGUAAACCUUUUUUUUUUCCCCCCAUUAAUAUUGAUGCAAAUAUAUUGUGCCCAACUACUUCCAAUUUAUUUGCAACAAAUGUCAAUAUAUUCUGUCAAAAAAUUAAAUUCCAAUGACUUUAGUUCAUUUAUAUUCUCUCUAACAGAAAAGAAUUCUAUUUUUAUCAACCUUGUUUUGAGCUUUAACUAAUAAUGAAAAUGAGUUAACAAAAAUGGAAUAUAUUUACUAAAUGCAUGCUAAAUGUUGAAAAUAUAUGUCAUGUAAGAAGAGAGGGUUAUUAAAUUCUAAAUUAUAUUUUUAACAAAAUUCUUGCAAAUUACUGGUAGGAAAUUACAGUUUUUAGAUAUAUUAUAAAAUUUUAAAAUCAUUUUUUCCCCUUUCUUUCUUUCUUUUUUCUUUUCUUUUUUUUUACAUAAUAAUCUGUGCAAAGGUCAGUUGUAUUUUUAAGACAUGAUUGUUUGUGGGGUUGAUAAUUCUAUUCAGUUAGUUGGGAAUCAUCUUGAAAUUUAAUUAAAAAAAUAAAAGGAAAAAAUAUACAAUUUGAAAUUUAAAUUAUACUAUUAUGGAAUAGGCUGUUAUGGAAACCUAUCAAUAAAUAUUCUUUUUAUAAGAUUUACAAUAAAUUGAUUAAUAUAUAUUAAAUAUAUAUUUUUAAAAGAAUGGUUCAUUUUCUGUCUUUAAUAUUAUAAUUACAAAUCAUUAAUAAUUCUACAUUGGUUAUUUAUUUCUGAUACUUAUCAUAAAAAAAGGAGGACUAAAUUAAAAUUUGUAAUCUUUGAUAUGGUUGGUUUUUAAUUUAAAAUACUCAAAAAAUUGUAAUUAUUCUAUUUACUACAAAAUUUUAAAAAUAUAGAAUAAUCCAAACUAAGCAUUAUAUAUUAUUACUCUUUUCACCUUCCCAUUGUGCCUUUUUCUUGUAAGUCUUUCUAGAAAAGAAAUCAACAUUACAGAGGGGAAAAUUGAAAGCCAGAAUGUAAUAAAAAUUUUAAGUAAAAUAAUUCAAAUUUUUCUUUGGCUUAUAAAUUAAUUAUUAUUUAGCUAGACCAAAUAGCUUUUAUUUGAUUUUUUUAAAAUGCAGCUAUAGAUUAAUGAAUCCUUUAGAUUGUUUCUUGACUUAUUGAUUCAAUUUAAAAUCCAUAGAGUAUUUGAGAUAUUUAUGGAUUCAAUUUAAUGUUUUUUUUUUAUUAUUAUUAUUGAAAUGCAACAUCUAAAAAUGACUUUAGUUUUUAGUUUAACAACAUGCAACACAUGACCAAAUCUAAAAGUGGUUUAAAUUGCUAAAUUUUUGAAAACUUUCAUAACAAAAUUAUUUACUUUUGUCAUUUGUUUAUUAACAUUUAAAUACAUUUAAACAUUAUCAUAUUAAUUAUUUAAUUAAAUAGCUAUGAACAAUGUGAAGACUGAAAGUACCCAUUGUAGAAACUGUUUGAAAGAAAAUACAGAUUUUCUUUGAAAUAAUAGUAAAGUUUUAAACUUCUUCCAUUAUUCUUUUUAUUUCAUUUCAACGUGAUUAUUUUUAUACUAAUACAAUACAUAAAAUAAAAAUAAGAAAAUACUUUAAAUAAUAGAGUAGUAUAUCUGAUAUCAGUAGACUAAUUAAUUACAUUACAGAAAAAAAAAAUUUUUUUUCCCUACUUCAUUUUGAAAAGAAAGCUGUUUGCCAGUUAUCUUGCUUCUUGUGCAGUAAUUAAUCUUCAUUUCAUUAUCCUGAUUGGGAAUCGUUAUAUAAACUAUCUUGUUCCAGCUGAACAUUUGUAAUAUUACUGCAAAGAAUUUUCAAACUGUGUUUGAACAUUUUGUGCCUUACCUGCUGAUACAUCUGCACUGAUCACAUAGCAAGUCAGGAUAUGAAAUUUCCUGUGUUGAAGCUACUCCUUUUAUAUUUGACUCUUGCUUCAAAAUGUUUUCUUGUUAUAAAACUUUUACUCAUUAUUCAAUAAACUGAGCUAAAAACAAACAGAAUUAAUGAAUAGUGCAAGGUCCAAGAUAGCAAGACUUUGCGUUAUUCACUUGGAAGUGUCAGGAUUUUUAAAAGAAAUGGAAACUUGGUGCUAUUAUUGGGAAGAAGAAAGAAAGAAACAUGAACAGCUAGAAAAAAUUUUAGAAGAAAAUAAACGAAAAAUUGAAGAAGCUCAGAAGAAACUAGCUGAAGAGCGUCUUGCAAUUAUUGAAGAUCAACGUAAAAUUGAUGAAGAAAAGAG